ACAUGCAGAUUAACAAAAGAUAGCGCAAUUCCUUAAAGAUAGGGACCAUCCGCCGUUGCGGAUGGAAAACUUGGCUAUAUGCUGGAACAUCCGGUGUAUCCAACAGUACCGAAAGGUAACAAUCUGUUGGUGCGGCCUAAUCCGUAAGAACGGACGGCCAACGGACAAUCAGCAGGAAAGAUCCGCCUUUUGCGGAAAUCCUCAACGACCAUACGCCAAGGCCGCUUCGGAAGCGGCAUGAUAUGGCCUGAACUGCAUGGCGACAUGCAG
This 270-nucleotide non-coding RNA is filed under the name Parcubacteria group bacterium GW2011_GWF2_50_9. The record is from RNAcentral.